RNAcentral lists this ribosomal RNA (450 nucleotides) under uncultured bacterium. RNAcentral's name for it is "bacterial SSU rRNA". It matches the Rfam family "Bacterial small subunit ribosomal RNA", at positions 28 to 506 of the family's 1533-position model. The record is from RNAcentral.
GAUGAACGCUGGCGGCGUGCCUAACACAUGCAAGUCGAGCGAUCUUCUUCGGAAGAGAGCGGCGGACGGGUGAGUAACGCGUGGGUAACCUGCCCUGUACACACGGAUAACAUACCGAAAGGUAUGCUAAUACGAGAUAAUAUGCUUUAUCGCAUGGUAGAAGUAUCAAAGCUUUUGCGGUACAGGAUGGACCCGCGUCUGAUUAGCUGGUUGGUAAGGUAACGGCUUACCAAGGCGACGAUCAGUAGCCGACCUGAGAGGGUGAUCGGCCACAUUGGAACUGAGACACGGUCCAAACUCCUACGGGAGGCAGCAGUGGGGAAUAUUGCACAAUGGGCGAAAGCCCGAUGCAGCAACGCCGCGUGAGCGAUGAAGGCCUUCGGGUCGUAAAGACUCUGUCCUCAAGAAGAUAAUGACGGUACUUGAGGAGGAAGCCCGGCGUAACUACGU